ACUACUAAUGGGAAAGGAUCUCUUCUGGAGAUCCCUUCUCUGGAAUUUUGCAGCUAGCCCAGAAUGCAGGAGCUUUGGAUGUCACGGUCUACCCUGAGGAUAUGUUCCUACCUGUGAAUAGAAAUCAAACGGCUUGUUUCUAUUUUGAAGAAAGUUAAUGCUGACAUCUAGUGGUACCCUUGUGCAUGUACGAAAAACUGAGAAAUCUGAUGGACUGCUGAAUAAAUGACAGAUAGCCCGACACUUUGAUAUUGCCAUUUCAAAAUAAUCUACUAAAAUGCUAAGCUGUGGUGGCAUGUUUGUUCUGGGAGUGCUCCUUGAGCACAUACAUCCCCACACUUCAGUGCUUAGAGCCCAGGGAAGCCUAAACCAGAUCUGGUUCCUCUCUGCUGCUAGGUAUGUGUGAAAUGGCCACCUCUGCAAGAUAGUGCCUGUCUGCUUUAUGUCAUCACUCAGAACUGAUUGACUUGAGCUGUUAUCUUCAAACACUGCAUGAAGGUAUUGCUUAAUUUUGCCCUGCUUUUUCUCUGUAUUUUCUGGGCAAGCAGUGUGCUUGACUUUAUGCUGUUACGAAUUUGUCAUGUCCUUUCCAGCUCUUGAAAAUCUAAGUAUCAUUUAUUUACACUGAAGUUAUGGAAGCUUGAGAACUUUAUGUGUUUACAAGCCACUUAAAUAAGCAUAGGUGUGUCCUCUGCCUCAGAAACCCUGUGCUUGCUGAAUUUGCACAAUUGUGUUCACUCUUGAGUCUGCCUUGCACAUUAGUAUCUGCUAGUUCUUGUCAAUCAUGAAAAAAAAGGAAGAGAGUAUUGAGCAGGAAUCAGUAAAAACGUGAAAUAAAGGUUUUGUGUUGACAAAGGGUAUGGUCCAGAGAUAGAAAA
Centrocercus urophasianus (Greater sage-grouse) is the source of this 878-nucleotide long non-coding RNA. RefSeq lists it as uncharacterized. The transcript is spliced from 3 exons. Lineage: Eukaryota; Metazoa; Chordata; Aves; Galliformes; Phasianidae. The record is from RefSeq and is a predicted model, not a curated record.